RNAcentral lists this ribosomal RNA (460 nucleotides) under uncultured bacterium. RNAcentral's name for it is "partial 16S ribosomal RNA". It matches the Rfam family "Bacterial small subunit ribosomal RNA", at positions 339 to 795 of the family's 1533-position model. The record is from RNAcentral.
CUACGGGAGGCACCAGUAAGGAAUAUUGGGCAAUGGACGCAAGUCUGACCCAGCCAUGCCGCGUGCAGGAUGACAGCCCUACGGGUUGUAAACUGCUUUUAUACGGGAAAAAUUCCCUGGUCGUGCACCGGGGUUGAUGGUACCGUAAGAAUAAGCAUCGGCUAACUCCGUGCCAGCAGCCGCGGUAAUACGGAGGAUGCAAGCGUUAUCCGGAUUCAUUGGGUUUAAAGGGUGCGCAGGCGGAAUGAUAAGUCAGUGGUGAAAUCCUACGGCUCAACUGUAGAACUGCCAUUGAUACUGUUGUUCUUGAGUACAUUUGAAGUGGGCGGAAUGUGUCAUGUAGCGGUGAAAUGCUUAGAGAUGACACAGAACACCGAUUGCGAAGGCAGCUCACUAAACUGUAACUGACGCUGAGGCACGAAAGCGUGGGGAUCAAACAGGAUUAGAUACCCCCGUAGUC